CCCUUAGAUGUUCUGGGCCGCACGCGCGCUACACUGACGAAGCCAGCGAGCAUGUCCUACGCCGACAGGUGCGGGGAAUCUUGUCAAACUUCGUCGUGAUGGGGAUUGAUUUUUGAAAUUCUUGAUCAUAAACGAGGAAUUCCUAGUAAGCGCAAGUCAGCAGCUUGCGUUGAUUACGUCCCUGCCCUUUGUACACACCGCCCGUCGCUACUACCGAUUGAAUGGUUUAGUGAGAUCUUCGGAUUGGCGCCACUGCAGCUCAGCAAUGGGCUUGGUGGAUGCCGAAAAGUUGAUCAAACUUGAUCAUUUAGAGGAAGUAAAAGUCGUAACA
Molecule: ribosomal RNA, 331 nt
Filed under: uncultured eukaryote
Lineage: Eukaryota
Description: partial 18S ribosomal RNA
Rfam family: Eukaryotic small subunit ribosomal RNA
Source: RNAcentral